GGCCUGCAGUGGGUACGGGCAGACUAGAGUGCGGUAGGGGAGAUUGGAAUUCCUGGUGUAGCGGUGGAAUGCGCAGAUAUCAGGAGGAACACCGAUGGCGAAGGCAGAUCUCUGGGCCGUAACUGACGCUGAGGAGCGAAAGGGUGGGGAGCAAACAGGCUUAGAUACCCUGGUAGUCCACCCCGUAAACGUUGGGAACUAGUUGUGGGGUCCAUUCCACGGAUUCCGUGACGCAGCUAACGCAUUAAGUUCCCCGCCUGGGGAGUACGGCCGCAAGGCUAAAACUCAAAGGAAUUGACGGGGACCCGCACAAGCGGCGGAGCAUGCGGAUUAAUUCGAUGCAACGCGAAGAACCUUACCAAGGCUUGACAUAUACGAGAACGGGCCAGAAAUGGUCAACUCUUUGGACACUCGUAAACAGGUGGUGCAUGGUUGUCGUCAGCUCGUGUCGUGAGAUGUUGGGUUAAGUCCCGCAACGAGCGCAACCCUCGUUCUAUGUUGCCAGCACGUAAUGGUGGGAACUCAUGGGAUACUGCCGGGGUCAACUCGGAGGAAGGUGGGGAUGACGUCAAAUCAUCAUGCCCCUUAUGUCUUGGGCUUCACGCAUGCUACAAUGGCCGGUACAAAGGGCUGC
RNAcentral lists this ribosomal RNA (634 nucleotides) under uncultured Microbacterium sp. RNAcentral's name for it is "bacterial SSU rRNA". It matches the Rfam family "Bacterial small subunit ribosomal RNA", at positions 618 to 1250 of the family's 1533-position model. The record is from RNAcentral. Lineage: Bacteria; Bacillati; Actinomycetota; Actinomycetes; Micrococcales; Microbacteriaceae.